RNAcentral lists this ribosomal RNA (448 nucleotides) under uncultured bacterium. Its description in RNAcentral is "SSU rRNA". It matches the Rfam family "Bacterial small subunit ribosomal RNA", at positions 26 to 518 of the family's 1533-position model. The record is from RNAcentral.
AGAGCGAACGCUGGCGGCAGGCCUAACACAUGCAAGUCGAGCGCCCGUAGCAAUACGGGAGCGGCAGACGGGAUAGUAACACGUGGGGACGCGCCCUUCGGUUCGGAAUAACUCAGGGAAACUUGAGCUAAUACCGAAUACGCCCUUACGGGGAAAGAUUUAUUGCCGAAGGAACGGCCCGCGUCCGAUUAGCUAGUUGGUGAGGUAAUGGCUCACCAAGGCUACGAUCGGUAGCUGGUCUGAGAGGAUGACCAGCAUCACUGGGACUGAGACACGGCCCAGACUCCUACGGGAGGCAGCAGUGGGGAAUAUUGGACAAUGGGCGCAAGCCUGAUCCAGCCAUGCCGCGUGGAUGAUGAAGGCCUUAGGGUUGUAAAGUCCUUUUAACGGGGGCGAUGAUGACGGUACCCGUAGAAUAAGCACCGGCUAACUUCGUGCCAGCAGCCGC